Molecule: ribosomal RNA, 497 nt
Filed under: uncultured bacterium
Lineage: Bacteria
Description: partial 16S ribosomal RNA
Rfam family: Bacterial small subunit ribosomal RNA
Source: RNAcentral
GAUGAACGCUGGCGGCGUGCCUAAUACAUGCAAGUCGAGCGAACAGACGAGGAGCUUGCUCCUCUGAUGUUAGCGGCGGACGGGUGAGUAACACGUGGAUAACCUACCUAUAAGACUGGGAUAACUUCGGGAAACCGGAGCUAAUACCGGAUAACAUGUUGCACCGCAUGGUUCAACAGUGAAAGACGGUCUUGCUGUCACUUAUAGCUGGAUCCGCGCCGCAUUAGCUAGUUGGUAAGGUAACGGCUUACCAAGGCAACGCUGCGUAGCCGAACUGAGAGGGUGAUGGGCCACACUGGAACUGAGACACGGUCCAGACGCCUACGGGAGGCAGCAGUAGGGAAUCUUCCGCAAUGGGCGAAAGCCUGACGGAGCAACGCCGCGGGAGUGAAGAAGGUCUUCGGAUCGUAAAACUCUGUUAUUAGGGAAGAACAAAUGUGUAAGUAACUAGGCACGUCUUGACGGUACCUAAUCAGAAAGCCACGGCUAACUACGUG